This 465-nucleotide ribosomal RNA is filed under the name uncultured bacterium. RNAcentral's name for it is "partial 16S ribosomal RNA". It matches the Rfam family "Bacterial small subunit ribosomal RNA", at positions 28 to 507 of the family's 1533-position model. The record is from RNAcentral.
GAUGAACGCUGGCGGCGUGCUUAACACAUGCAAGUCGAACGGAAAGGCUCCUGCUUGCAGGGGUACUCGAGUGGCGAACGGGUGAGUAACACGUGGGUGAUCUGCCCUGCACUUCGGGAUAAGCCUGGGAAACUGGGUCUAAUACCGGAUAGGACCACAUUUUGGAUGGUGUGGUGGAAAGUUUUUCGGUGUGGGAUGAGCUCGCGGCCUAUCAGCUUGUUGGUGGGGUAAUGGCCUACCAAGGCGUCGACGGGUAGCCGGCCUGAGAGGGUGUACGGCCACAUUGGGACUGAGAUACGGCCCAGACUCCUACGGGAGGCAGCAGUGGGGAAUAUUGCACAAUGGGCGCAAGCCUGAUGCAGCGACGCCGCGUAGGGGAUGACGGCCUUCGGGUUGUAAACUCCUUUCGCUAGGGACGAAGCGCAAGUGACGGUACCUGGAGAAGAAGCACCGGCUAACUACGUG